This 428-nucleotide RNase P RNA is filed under the name Nitrospiraceae bacterium. RNAcentral describes it as "RNase P RNA component class A". It matches the Rfam family "Bacterial RNase P class A". From Rfam's summary of the family: Ribonuclease P (RNase P) is a ubiquitous endoribonuclease, found in archaea, bacteria and eukarya as well as chloroplasts and mitochondria. The record is from RNAcentral. Lineage: Bacteria; Pseudomonadati; Nitrospirota; Nitrospiria; Nitrospirales; Nitrospiraceae.
GGAGAAGACUGGGUGAUCGCUCAUGGCGGAGACGCUAGGAGAGGAAAGUCCGGACUUCAUGGGCAGGGCGCUGGGUAACUCCCAGGCGGAGCAAUCCGACACCAGCACCACAGAAAAUAGACCGCCGAUGGCCUUGGUGACAGGACUCUCAUCCGGUCACCAAGUCUCAGGUAAGGGUGAAACGGUGGAGUAAGAGCCCACCGCGGUGGUGGCGACAUCACCGGCACGGUAAGCGUUGCCCGAUGCAAGGCCAAAUAGGAAGACAUCUGCCGGCUUUCUUCGGAAAACCGGCAACCGGCUGGCCCGGCCGAGGUCUUCGGGUAGGUCGCUUGAGGUUCGAGGUAACUCGAAUCCCAGAGAAAUGAUCAUCUCUACUUGGGAGCAUAUCCCAGGCAAGACAGAAUCCGGCUUAUCGGUCUUCUCCAUCG